This 170-nucleotide small RNA is filed under the name Geodermatophilus sp. RNAcentral describes it as "c-di-AMP sequence". It matches the Rfam family "c-di-AMP riboswitch aptamer (ydaO/yuaA leader)". From Rfam's summary of the family: This family represents a conserved RNA structure found upstream of the ydaO and yuaA genes in Bacillus subtilis and related genes in other bacteria. The ydaO/yuaA element is thought to act as a genetic "off" switch for the ydaO and yuaA genes in its native state. Lineage: Bacteria; Bacillati; Actinomycetota; Actinomycetes; Geodermatophilales; Geodermatophilaceae. The record is from RNAcentral. RNAcentral also lists the same sequence under 1 other name.
GACCGGUCACCGCCGAACUGCCCACCCUCCGGGGCGGGCGGACCGGGGACCCACCGCAGCACUGGGGUGAGUUCUCCGCGGGCGCCACGAACGGUGGUGCGUGCGGGGAUAGGGCGUCGUCUUCCUGCCCGAACCCGUCAGCUAACCCGGUAGGCGGUCGAGGAGGAUGA